CAGCAGCCGCGGGAAUACGUAGGUGGCAAGCGUUGUCCGGAAUUAUUGGGCGUAAAGGGCUCGCAGGCGGUUUCUUAAGUCUGAUGUGAAAGCCCCCGGCUCAACCGGGGAGGGUCAUUGGAAACUGGGAAACUUGAGUGCAGAAGAGGAGAGUGGAAUUCCACGUGUAGCGGUGAAAUGCGUAGAGAUGUGGAGGAACACCAGUGGCGAAGGCGACUCUCUGGUCUGUAACUGACGCUGAGGAGCGAAAGCGUGGGGAGCGAACAGGAUUAGAUACCCCUGUAGUCCCUGUCGCUUAUAC
RNAcentral lists this ribosomal RNA (301 nucleotides) under uncultured bacterium. RNAcentral's name for it is "partial 16S ribosomal RNA". It matches the Rfam family "Bacterial small subunit ribosomal RNA", at positions 509 to 809 of the family's 1533-position model. The record is from RNAcentral.